This 133-nucleotide ribosomal RNA is filed under the name uncultured bacterium. RNAcentral's name for it is "partial 16S ribosomal RNA". The record is from RNAcentral.
UUGGCCGGUGCUUCUUCUGUACCUACCGUCACUUGCGCUUCGUCGGUACUGAAAGAGGUUUACAACCCGAAGGCCGUCAUCCCUUACGCGGCGUUGCUGGAUCAGGCUUCCGCCCAUUGUCCAAUAUUCCCCA